Molecule: long non-coding RNA, 1965 nt
Organism: Mirounga angustirostris (Northern elephant seal)
Lineage: Eukaryota; Metazoa; Chordata; Mammalia; Carnivora; Phocidae
Exons: 3
Source: RefSeq, a predicted model, not a curated record
UCUAUUUAAAAACUUGAGGCAAACACUAUUAAUAUUUUCACUUUAAAGAUGAAGCCCUGAGGAACAGAGAGAUCACUCGGCCAGUAAGUGGUAGAAUCAGGAUUCAGUCCAGAGCAGCUGACUCCAGAACCUACGCAGCUAAAAACAAGGAUCUUGGAGUCGACUGUCUGGCUUCGAAUUCUGAUUCCAUCUACAGCACUUAGAUUACUGCCUGCUAUGGGAGAGACAGAGCUAGCAAGAGAGAGCACAAGCGGGAAGAAGGGGGAGAAGCAGUCUACCCGCCAAGCUGGGAGCCUGAUGUGGGACUCAGUCCCAGGAACCUGGGAUCAUGACCUGAGCCGAAGGCAGACGCUUAACCGACUGAGCCAUCCAGGCGGCUGCAAUUUUUUUAAAAAGCAAUAUAAAAAAAUUUGCCCAAGCCUAAAACAAGUGAACAGAAAUAAAUGGUGUACUUCUGAGAUGCAGGAAUUCCAAAAGAGUCAAGGGCUUCCUGCACUAAAGAAACACAGAAAAGAAUCAAGGGCACCUUCUUGAUCCGAACUAUAGAAGCUGCAGGGGAAGUUGGAGUUGCACUAGCUGAACACCCUGCGAGAGAGACAAGAUGCUGUGUGGAGAGCCUCAGGGAUGGAGGGAAAAGAAGUGAUGCCUCUGUAUUGUCAGGAACUAACACAUUGCCUGGAACUCAAUAAAUUUUUGUUGAAAUAAUAAGGAUGACUUUUGAUAUGGCAGUUAUGAAUAAUUCUGCACAGCACAAAAAGUUGCUACAGAUAAUUAAAGUUAACUAUAAAAUCAUACAGAAGUUUUCCAGUAAGUUGAAACUUGUGCAGUUGUAAUGUCUCAAUACAUUACAUUUUGGAAGAAGAUGGGGGAAAUAAAACGAUGAAAAUGAUAUAAAGUGAUUUUUUUAAAAAUUAAAGCAUAAAAGAUGAGAAGUUUACUAUAUGUUAUGUGAUGACUUUCUAAUUCUGAACUACUUAAAGAUAAUUGUUUCUUUGCGUUGGUGGUAUAGUGGUGAGCAUAGCUGCCUUCCAAGAUAAUUGUUUCUUUGAUGACAUAUGUUUUUCCGUAUAUACAUAUAUUUGAUGCAUAUCCUCUUACAUAUAUUUUUCCUAACAGUGACCAAAAUAAGUCUUUAUAAAUUAAAAAAUCUAAAUAAAAAACAUAAUUCAUUCCUAACAAACUGAUGCUCUGAAAUAUGAAUGCUAUAGGUCAAUGACUAUAUCAAAACCCUAAGAUUUUAAAAAUAUACAUCUAUUUAAUACAUAAAGCAAUACAUUUAUAGCAGAGUGUUGAUGUAAAUGUGGGGAAAGAUUUCCUUAAAAGAAAUAAUUUCACAGUCACUCUGUGUAUAUAAAGAUGAUUCUCAGGGCAGUCCCCCAAUUAACAGGGAGAGAAAAAGAGAGAGAAUUUAAUUAAUGUGCAUUAAGAACUUUUUAAUUUCCUAGGACGACUGCUGAGAGAAGGGUUGGUGGGGCCCAGAAUAAGGUAAACAGAGAGUAAGGAAGGAGAAGCAUGCAGAAUACAGGAAGAGAGGACCUAGGGAGAGUGUAUCAAUAAUGGGAAAUGGCUUGCGGACGUGAAACACAAGGGAUUUCAUCUUGAACUAGAAGUUGUCUGUUAUGCAAUCCUGAAAAAAUAAACCUUGUCUUUGUCUUCAGACUUUCAGAGUUUGGUAGAGAAAUUGUCAUUUUUUAUCACAAUUAAAAAAAUUUGAUAUUUACUAUAGUCAAGUGAGCUUCAGAAGGACAACUAUAUUUAUUUUUAACACAUAUUGCCUUGACACUCUGAAAAAAAUUUUUAUUGUGGAAAAUUUCAGUAACAUAAAAAGGUAGCGAUAAAUAUAAUUAUCAUCUAACUUAAGUAACGAUCAACUCAUAGCUGAUUUUGGUUUAUAAACUCCACUGCAUCCUCCACUGCUUGCUUGCCCUGGACUAUUUUGAAGCAAAUGCCAAACAUUGUAUCAUU